This 72-nucleotide transfer RNA is filed under the name Candidatus Roizmanbacteria bacterium. Its description in RNAcentral is "tRNA-Met". It matches the Rfam family "tRNA". From Rfam's summary of the family: Transfer RNA (tRNA) molecules are approximately 80 nucleotides in length. Their secondary structure includes four short double-helical elements and three loops (D, anti-codon, and T loops). Lineage: Bacteria; Candidatus Roizmaniibacteriota. The record is from RNAcentral.
GGCUGGGUAGCUCAGCGGUAGAGCAGUCGUUUCAUAAGCGAUUGGUAGUGGGUUCGACUCCCACCCCAGCCA